This 496-nucleotide ribosomal RNA is filed under the name uncultured bacterium. RNAcentral describes it as "partial 16S ribosomal RNA". It matches the Rfam family "Bacterial small subunit ribosomal RNA", at positions 28 to 506 of the family's 1533-position model. The record is from RNAcentral.
GAUGAACGCUGGCGGCGUGCCUAAUACAUGCAAGUCGAGCGAACAGACGAGGAGCUUGCUCCUCUGACGUUAGCGGCGGACGGGUGAGUAACACGUGGAUAACCUACCUAUAAGACUGGGAUAACUUCGGGAAACCGGAGCUAAUACCGGAUAAUAUAUUGAACCGCAUGGUUCAAUAGUGAAAGACGGUUUUGCUGUCACUUAUAGAUGGAUCCGCGCCGCAUUAGCUAGUUGGUAAGGUAACGGCUUACCAAGGCAACGAUGCGUAGCCGACCUGAGAGGGGGAUCGCCAACACGGGAAUGAGGACAGGGUCCAAACCCCCACGGGGGGCAGCGGUGGGAAAUUUCCCGGAUGGGGGGAAGGCUGGACGGGGAACCGCCGGGGGGGUGAGAAAGGUUUUGGGUUGGAAAACCCCUUUUUUUGGGAAAAAAAAAAGGGGAAAGAACCAUUCCCGGUUUGGACGGUACCUAACAAAAAAGCCACGGUUAACUGCGG